RNAcentral lists this long non-coding RNA (444 nucleotides) under Phoenix dactylifera (date palm). RNAcentral describes it as "long non-coding RNA (PDAC_LNC022386)". The record is from RNAcentral. Lineage: Eukaryota; Viridiplantae; Streptophyta; Magnoliopsida; Arecales; Arecaceae.
UGUAUCUUGCUUUUCCGUCAUAUCUUUAAUUCUUGAUUGAGGAACAUUGUACUUAUUUUGGGAAUUAAUGUAUGAAAAAUGUUCCUAUUUUGAUCAAUGAAGUCUAAAGCUUUUUCGUUAUUGCAUCUUUUCCCAUAUCUAUGUUUUUGAUGAUGACAAAAAGGGGGAGAAGAGAAGAGGAAAGAGUAUAUAAAAGAAGUUAUGAAGGAAAGGGUAGUAUAUAAAGGGAGAAGAGGAAACAGUAUAUAAAGGAGUAUAUAAAGGAGAAGAGAAGGAAGAGUAUAAAGGGGGAGACGAAAAGAUAAAGUAUUCACUCUAAGAAAAGAAAGAGUAUUUCAUUUAUGAGAAAGAGUGAGUAAAGAAGUUAUGAAAAGAAAAGAGAAAUAAAUGGGCUAAACAAAUUGAAAAUCAUAUAAGAAAGAUUAUAUAUCUAAGGGGGAGCAA